CAUCGGUGACAGGUGGUGCAUGGUUGUCGUCAGCUCGUGUCGUGAGAUGUUGGGUUAAGUCCCGCAACGAGCGCAACCCCUAUUGUUAGUUGCCAUCAUUCAGUUGGGCACUCUAGCGAGACUGCCGGUAAUAAACCGGAGGAAGGUGGGGAUGACGUCAAAUCAUCAUGCCCCUUAUGACCUGGGCUACACACGUGCUACAAUGGUUGGUACAACGAGUUGCGAGUCGGUGACGGCGAGCUAAUCUCUUAAAGCCAAUCUCAGUUCGGAUUGUGGGCUGCAACUCGCCUACAUGAAGUCGGAAUCGCUAGUAAUCGCGGAUCAGCACGCCGCGGUGAAUACGUUCCCGGGCCUU
RNAcentral lists this ribosomal RNA (355 nucleotides) under uncultured Streptococcus sp. RNAcentral's name for it is "bacterial SSU rRNA". It matches the Rfam family "Bacterial small subunit ribosomal RNA", at positions 1026 to 1382 of the family's 1533-position model. The record is from RNAcentral. Lineage: Bacteria; Bacillati; Bacillota; Bacilli; Lactobacillales; Streptococcaceae.